CAUCAUGAAUUAUAUUUAUUCCCAAACGCUCCCUUAACUCUUUACUAUUUCCAAUAAAAAAAACGCUCCUUCACCUCACCUCAACCCACCCAAACCCCAAAUCCAAAUCCAAAUCCCGAUCCAAAUCCUUCAUCCUAGGGCAUCUCUGAACUGUAACAAUCCCAUGCCAACCAUUUGAAAGAUGCAAACUGAGGAUUUCUCGAUCGGAAUCUUCUAGGUCAAAAAUGGCAGGUUCCGGUAGUCCCAACGGUGGUUCUACACCGCCACCGCCGCCUCCAACUCAACAAGUUGGAUUCUCAAAACCCAUUUCCCUUGCUGGCCCUAGCGAUGCUGAUAUCCAACGGAACCUCGAAUUGGAGAAGUUCAUGCUUGAUUCUGGGCUUUACGAGAGUGAUGAAGAAGCUGCAGCCAGACGAGAAGUCCUUCGCCGCCUUGACCAGAUUGUGAAAAGUUGGGUGAAGCAGGUGACUCGUCAACGAGGCUACACCGAUCAGAUGGUUGAUGAUGCAAAUGCUGUCAUUUUCACUUUUGGCUCUUAUCGCCUUGGGGUUCAUGGACCAGGAGUUGACAUAGACACUUUGUGCAUUGGUCCUUCUUAUGUGAAUCGAGAGGAAGACUUCUUUUUUGGUUUACAUGACAUUUUGGCUGAAAUGGAAGAAAUUACUGAACUUCAACCAAUUAAUGAUGCACAUGUCCCAGUAAUGAAAUUCAAGUUCCAGGGAAUUUCUAUAGAUUUGCUGUAUGCAAGCAUAUCUCUUUUGGUUGUGCCAGAAGACGUGGAUAUCUCACAAGGUUCUGUGCUGCAUGAUGUUGAUGAACAAACUGUUCGAAGUCUUAAUGGCUGCCGGGUGGCAGAUCAGAUUCUGAAACUUGUUCCUAAUGUUGAGCACUUCCGUACUACGCUGAGAUGUUUAAAGUUUUGGGCUAAAAGGCGUGGUGUGUAUUCAAAUGUUACUGGAUUCCUUGGCGGUGUAAAUUGGGCUAUUUUAGUCGCUCGACUGUGCCAGUUUUACCCUAAUGCAAUUCCUAGUAUGUUGGUUUCUCGAUUCUUUCGGGUCUAUACACAGUGGCGGUGGCCAAACCCUGUAAUGCUAUGCUCUAUAGAAGAAAAUGAACUCGGUUUCUCUAUAUGGGAUCCUCGUAAAAACUCCCGGGACAGAUUGCACACUAUGCCAAUUAUUACUCCUGCAUACCCUUGCAUGAAUUCCAGCUACAAUGUCUCAGCAAGCACUCUUCGUGUUAUGAUGGAACAGUUCCGCCAUGGCAACAAGAUUUGUGAUGAAAUUGAGCUCAACAAAUCCCAGUGGAGUGCACUUUUUGAACCAUAUGUCUUUUUUGAGGCAUACAAAAACUAUUUACAAGUAGACAUACUUGCAUUAGAUGCUGAUGACUUACUAGCGUGGAAGGGUUGGGUAGAAUCUCGGUUGAGACUGCUAACCUUGAAGAUUGAGCGAGAUACCAAUGGGAUGCUGCAGUGUCAUCCUUAUCCACACGAGUAUGCAGACACAUCCAAGCCUUGCGCACAUUCUGCAUUUUUCAUGGGUUUGCAAAGAAAAGAGGGAGUAAAAGGUCAAGAGGGACAGCAAUUUGAUAUACGCGGAACAGUUGAUGAAUUCAGACAAGAAAUAAAUAUGUUGUAUACAUACUGGAAGCCUGGGAUGGAAAUUUAUGUUUCUCAUGUUCGUCGAAAGAAGCUCCCUGCAUUUGUUUUUCCAGAUGGUUACAAACGUUCUCGAAUACCAAGGAAUUUAAGCCAUACAGCUGAAAAAAUGGGCGAUGAUACUCCAAUGUGCAACUCUGGGUCUAGGUCUUCUGAAAGAUGCGUCAAGAGGAAAAGUAACCCUGAAAUGGUGGAUGUGAAGCCAGAUAAAUCAGAGAAGCGGGCAUCUGUUAGCCCACAAAAUGUUUCUCCGGCGAGUUGUUCUAGUAAAUCAGGUGGCACACCUCAAAUGAGUAUUGAGGAUAUCGAAGGAGUUAGGUUAGCUAGCUCAACAAUGAAAGAUGCUGACAGCAACUCUGGAAUUAAGUCAUCUUAUGGACUCCUAGGAAGUGGAACCAAUAUUGAAGUACGCAACGUGCAGAUUAGUGAAACAGGUUCUGUUGACUCCACACGGCUGAAACAAGUUCAGAAUGAGAAUGUAGUCAAUGGGGAUAAAGCUCGUGAUCUGGGUUUAGAUUGCUUGGAAAAUGCAGAAACUGCAGCUACCAAAAGCUUGUCAAACUGGAAAGACGGCACUGUUGGUAUGGAACAACAACUAGACAAAGGUUGUACUUUCACCAAAAGGGCCGAAUGUUCAGAUUUUGUACCGAGUGCCAGCACCCAGAGCCUCAAUUGUGAGGGUGGUGUUUGUUUGGCUGAUCCAGAUCAGUUCUGAAGAGUGGGUAUUUUCAUGGAAAUAGUAUUUCAAAAUAUCAUGGCUGAAGAGUUUAAGGUUUUGAAUUUCCUAAUCUCUUUCUGUUUUCUCCGUAAUAAAGAUGAUCUAAAUAAUACUAUUCUUUAAUAGCAGUUACUAAAGUUUUAUAUUUCAUGUGUUUUCUGAUGAAAUAAGUGAGUGUAAUCUUGUAUUUUUUUGGUGACUGAUUCCCUUUGUUUUCUAGCUUGUUAACACAUUAUAUAUCCUGUAUCCAGUCAGAAUAUGGUCUGUCCCUUUUCUGUUCCUAUCUUUUUGGUUCUUCUUGCUAUGACCGACUGUUUUUAUUAUACAUUGUAUAAAUUUGCCCAUUUGUUUCAAGACGAUUUGACUAUUAAUUUGCAUGGUAAUUGAAUUUCUUAGUCAACUUUCUGACCGCUGAAUAUGUGGUCGCAGGUCUUGCACCACUAUACGUGCUAUUUCCAGUUACUGUGCUUAAGAACCUGACUUGUUUUGUGUAGAGAGGCUCAGAGACCAGACCUUCUGUUUUUCUCCUAUACAUUUUCUUGUUUACUGGUUUUUUUGGGUUCCUAAUUAUUUGUAUUCUUUCUAUUUUUCAUAUUUUGUAUAGCCAGAUGUCAGACUCAGAAGUGUUGUAUAAAUUGAAGAUGGGGCUAGGAGGAUGAGUUUGGAGUGGUACGUGAAAAUGGGAGGUGAGUCUCUGAAGUUGCUGCUGCGCACACUUCUACUAUCUUUUGCUGGGUUGGGGCUGUUGCUGUGCUAAGAUCCUGUGGGCGUAGGCAUGAGGCUAAAUCUGAACAGUGAGGAGCUGAUGCAAAUGAUGGCUGCGUGAUGGUCCUUUGUGUACAUAGAUGAACGGAGGCAUGGAGAUGCUAAAAAUGUGGUCACGCCCAGUUUGUGUGAAACCAUGGGCUGAUUUCAUCUUCAGAGCUGUGAAUUGUCUCAUAAACUUUGACAUUUACACACCUUGGAUCUUCAAGGAGUGGGAACUUUGUGGUUUUGCUUUGUGAUGUGGAUGUAAAUGUAAUCAAAUUGCCAUUUCGACUAGGUGGUUUAGAAGACAAAAUGGCAAAACAAAAAUAUUUUUGGCGGCAGAUGAGUAGGUGGUAGUCAGUCAUUCACGUCUAUCCUUGCUUUACAAGUUUAGACAGCGGGGGGUACUACUGCCUAUGAGUUUCGUUGGUCUUUCUUGGCUUAAAACUUCUGUGAAAUAUUGUAUUUGUCACCAGUGUUCUCAUAUCGUUUUCUUCUA
This is an RNA transcript of Lotus japonicus, 3624 nucleotides long. It is a transcript of the gene named nuclear poly(A) polymerase 4, with no coding region annotated. NCBI's taxonomy places the organism in Eukaryota, Viridiplantae, Streptophyta, Magnoliopsida, Fabales, Fabaceae. The transcript is spliced from 13 exons. The record is from RefSeq and is a predicted model, not a curated record.